UACGAAGGGGGCAAGCGUUGUUCGGAAUUACUGGGCGUAAAGGGUCCGUAGGCGGUGUGGUAAGUCGGGAGUGAAAUCUCUGGGCUUAACUCAGAGGCUGCUUCCGAAACUGCCGUGCUAGAGUGCGAGAGAGGCAAGUGGAAUUGCGGGUGUAGCGGUGAAAUGCGUAGAUAUCCGCAGGAACAUCCGAGGCGAAAGCGGCUUGCUGGAUCGCAACUGACGCUGAGGGACGAAAGCUAGGGGAGCAAACAGG
This 253-nucleotide ribosomal RNA is filed under the name uncultured bacterium. RNAcentral describes it as "partial 16S ribosomal RNA". It matches the Rfam family "Bacterial small subunit ribosomal RNA", at positions 524 to 776 of the family's 1533-position model. The record is from RNAcentral.